RNAcentral lists this ribosomal RNA (1272 nucleotides) under uncultured bacterium. RNAcentral describes it as "bacterial SSU rRNA". It matches the Rfam family "Bacterial small subunit ribosomal RNA", at positions 32 to 1317 of the family's 1533-position model. The record is from RNAcentral.
GAGACAGGCGGCGUGCUUACCAUGCAAGUCGAACGGAGAAUUUAUUUCGGUAGAUUCUUAGUGGCGAACGGGUGAGUAACGCGUGGGCAACCUGCCCUUCAGAUGGGGACAACAUCCCGAAAGGGGUGCUAAUACCGAAUACGAUCACGCUGCCGCAUGGCGGUGUGAUGAAAGAUGGCCUCUAUUUAUAAGCUAUCGCUGAAGGAUGGGCCUGCGUCUGAUUAGCUAGUUGGUGGGGUAACGGCCUACCAAGGCGAUGAUCAGUAGCCGGUCUGAGAGGAUGAACGGCCACAUUGGGACUGAGACACGGCCCAAACUCCUACGGGAGGCAGCAGUGGGGAAUAUUCCGCAAUGGACGAAAGUCUGACGGAGCAACGCCGCGUGAGUGAUGAAGGUUUUCGGACUGUAAAACUCUGUUGUUUAGGACGAAAGUGCCUGUUGCAAAUAGUUGCAGGUAUUGACGGUACUGAACGAGGAAGCCACGGCUAACUACGUGCCAGCAGCCGCGGUAAUACGUAGGUGGCAAGCGUUGUCCGGAAUUAUUGGGCGUAAAGAGCAUGUAGGUGGAUACUUAAGUCUGUUGUGAAAAUGCGGGGCUCAACCCCGUAUUGCGAUGGAAACUGGGUGUCUUGAGUGCAGGAGAGGAAAGGGGAAUUCCCAGUGUAGCGGUGAAAUGCGUAGAUAUUGGGAGGAACACCAGUGGCGAAGGCGCCUUUCUGGACUGUGUCUGACACUGAGAUGCGAAAGCUAGGGGAGCGAACGGGAUUAGAUACCCCGGUAGUCCUAGCCGUAAACGAUGGGUACUAGGUGUAGGGGGUAUCGACCCCCCCUGUGCCGGAGUUAACGCAAUAAGUACCCCGCCUGGGGAGUACGGCCGCAAGGUUGAAACUCAAAGGAAUUGACGGGGGCCCGCACAAGCGGUGGAGUAUGUGGUUUAAUUCGACGCAACGCGAAGAACCUUACAAGGCUUGACAUUGAGUGAAUUGUUAAGAGAUUAGCACCCCUCUUCGGAGGCACAAAAACAGGUGGUGCAUGGCUGUCGUAGCUCGUGUCGUGAGAUGUUGGGUUAAGUCCCGCACGAGCGCAACCCCUAUCUAUGUUACCAGCGGAUUAUGCCGGGACUUCAUGGGAGAACUGCCAAGGACCAACCUGAAGUAAUGCCGGAUGACGUCAAGUCAUCAUGCCCCUUUUUGUCCUUGGCUACACCGUACUACUAUGUUCGGCAACUAUGGUCUAGAUAACUCUGCUAGGUGUGGUACAUAAUUCUCCGUA